AAACUACUCACUCCGUCCCAUAAUAAGUGACGCAAUAUUACAUGUAUCUAGACGUUUUUUGGAUAUAGAUACAUCCAUAUUUGAACAAAUUUGAGUCACUUAAUAUGAAACGGAGGGAGUAAUUG
Molecule: non-coding RNA, 125 nt
Organism: Brachypodium distachyon (stiff brome)
Lineage: Eukaryota; Viridiplantae; Streptophyta; Magnoliopsida; Poales; Poaceae
Source: Rfam